Long non-coding RNA from Hyla sarda, 345 nucleotides. RefSeq lists it as uncharacterized. Lineage: Eukaryota; Metazoa; Chordata; Amphibia; Anura; Hylidae. The record is from RefSeq and is a predicted model, not a curated record. The transcript is spliced from 3 exons.
CAACAGUGCACCUGACAGUAAUUGGAAGAGAAGAUGUUGUCAUCCAAUUCCCUCAGGAGCAGAACAUUAGGCUCUGGUUAUGCAACUUCAAGUGAUCUCAGCAAAGCCGGCGUGCGCUUACCAUAGGAGGCAGUGCGCAUGCGGCGGCAAGCAGGAAGAUAGGGGAGAUGACAUGGAAGUUCAAGCUACUGACCAGAUGCAGUUCUCCAAGUCACGGCCCUACAGUAAUACAUCAAAAGAUACUCCUCCACAACCAAGAAAGUGAGAAAUUGUGAAAUCAAGUGGAUUGCGGCAUAAAAUCUGUUUGCACGUCCACAUAUGCUGCACCUACUAUAUCAGCUGGAA